RNAcentral lists this transfer RNA (77 nucleotides) under Candidatus Bathyarchaeota archaeon. RNAcentral describes it as "tRNA-Trp". It matches the Rfam family "tRNA". Rfam says of the family: Transfer RNA (tRNA) molecules are approximately 80 nucleotides in length. Their secondary structure includes four short double-helical elements and three loops (D, anti-codon, and T loops). RNAcentral also lists the same sequence under 1 other name. The record is from RNAcentral. Lineage: Archaea; Thermoproteati; Candidatus Bathyarchaeota.
GGGGCUGUAGUCUAGGCAGGUAUGACGACGGGCUCCAGACCCGUAGGUCGUCGGUUCAAAUCCGGCCAGCCCCACCA